AAUUGAAGAGUUUGAUCAUGGCUCAGAUUGAACGCUGGCGGCAGGCCUAACACAUGCAAGUCGAACGGUAACAGGAAGAAGCUUGCUUCUUUGCUGACGAGUGGCGGACGGGUGAGUAAUGUCUGGGAAACUGCCUGAUGGAGGGGGAUAACUACUGGAAACGGUAGCUAAUACCGCAUAACGUCGCAAGACCAAAGAGGGGGACCUUCGGGCCUCUUGCCAUCGGAUGUGCCCAGAUGGGAUUAGCUAGUAGGUGGGGUAACGGCUCACCUAGGCGACGAUCCCUAGCUGGUCUGAGAGGAUGACCAGCCACACUGGAACUGAGACACGGUCCAGACUCCUACGGGAGGCAGCAGUGGGGAAUAUUGCACAAUGGGCGCAAGCCUGAUGCAGCCAUGCCGCGUGUAUGAAGAAGGCCUUCGGGUUGUAAAGUACUUUCAGCGGGGAGGAAGGGAGUAAAGUUAAUACCUUUACUCAUUGACGUUACCCGCAGAAGAAGCACCGGCUAACUCCGUGCCAGCAGCCGCGGUAAUACGGAGGGUGCAAGCGUUAAUCGGAAUUACUG
RNAcentral lists this ribosomal RNA (565 nucleotides) under Escherichia coli O26:H11 str. 2011C-3387. RNAcentral describes it as "bacterial SSU rRNA". It matches the Rfam family "Bacterial small subunit ribosomal RNA", at positions 1 to 556 of the family's 1533-position model. Lineage: Bacteria; Pseudomonadati; Pseudomonadota; Gammaproteobacteria; Enterobacterales; Enterobacteriaceae. The record is from RNAcentral.